This 127-nucleotide ribosomal RNA is filed under the name Macaca nemestrina (pig-tailed macaque). The record is from RNAcentral. Lineage: Eukaryota; Metazoa; Chordata; Mammalia; Primates; Cercopithecidae.
GUCUACUGCUAUACCACCCUGAACACUCCCCAUCUGAUCUCAGAAGCUAAGCAGGGUCAGGCCUGGUUAGUACCUGGAUGGGAGAAUGGUUGUUUCAAAAGAGCCUGGCGGCCAGGCACAGUGUCUC